This 118-nucleotide ribosomal RNA is filed under the name Bifidobacterium longum subsp. longum. Lineage: Bacteria; Bacillati; Actinomycetota; Actinomycetes; Bifidobacteriales; Bifidobacteriaceae. The record is from RNAcentral.
UGCGGCGGCCAUGGCCCAGGUGAGACGCCCGGUCCCAUUCCGAACCCGGAAGCUAAGGCCUGGCACGGCGAUGGUACUGCACCCGACAGGGUGUGGGAGAGUAGCACGCCGGCGGCGA